Long non-coding RNA from Zingiber officinale, 614 nucleotides. RefSeq lists it as uncharacterized. The transcript is spliced from 2 exons. NCBI's taxonomy places the organism in Eukaryota, Viridiplantae, Streptophyta, Magnoliopsida, Zingiberales, Zingiberaceae. The record is from RefSeq and is a predicted model, not a curated record.
CUGCAGACUUGCCACCUUGCAUCAAUAGAUUUCACAAGAAAAGGAUUAAUACUUGAUAGUCGAUUGGGCAACAAUGUGGCCGACGCAACCGUAUAUGGGAUCGUGGACCCUUGCCUCUGCCUCGUAUGUGAUUGUUGCCAUUGCCUCUUCCCGUACCUCCGGCGGCACUUGGUGAAGGAGCAUCUUCGAUACUUUGCUAGCCCCAAACACACGAUGGAUGGCUGCAAAUUGUGUUGCCCCUUCCUCCGUGCUAAAGUAGGGAGCGAAAAUGCAACAUUCCUGCUCGCACUUUCUCCGUAGGAACUUGCACGCACCACACGGGGAGCUCAUGGCCAUGUUUCAUGCGCAUAUGUUAUAACUGAUGGUCUAUUAAUUCUUGGGAGGAAGAGAGGAUGACGAAGCUGGCCUUGGAUUGCCACCACAUGGAUUUAUAUAAGGAUAUUGAGAGGAAGGGGGUGGUGUAGGGUAGAUGGGGGACAUAUACUAAUGCUGCAAUUGAUGGUAGGAAUAGUUUUUUCGAAAGUAGGGGAGGUGCACCUGAUCAUGAUGAUGAUGAUGCACACAUAAUUGGUAGAUAAAGACUUUGAAAACGUUAUAAAAUUCUACUUAAUGCU